RNAcentral lists this ribosomal RNA (459 nucleotides) under uncultured bacterium. RNAcentral describes it as "partial 16S ribosomal RNA". It matches the Rfam family "Bacterial small subunit ribosomal RNA", at positions 338 to 795 of the family's 1533-position model. The record is from RNAcentral.
CCUACGGGUGGCAGCAGUGAGGAAUAUUGGUCAAUGGCCGAGAGGCUGAACCAGCCAAGUCGCGUGAGGGAAGACGGCCCUACGGGUUGUAAACCUCUUUUGUCGGGGAGCAAAGCGAGUCACGUGUGACUCAUUGAGAGUACCCGAAGAAAAAGCAUCGGCUAACUCCGUGCCAGCCGCCGCGGUAAUACGGAGGAUGCGAGCGUUAUCCGGAUUUAUUGGGUUUAAAGGGUGCGCAGGCGGAGGUGCAAGUCAGCGGUCAAAGUGCGGGGCUCAACCCCGUACUGCCGUUGAAACUGCAUCCCUUGAGUGCGCGAGAAGUAUGCGGAAUGCGUGGUGUAGCGGUGAAAGGCAGAGAUAGCACGCAGAACUCCGAUUGCGAAGGCAGCAUACCGGCGCGCAACUGACGCUCAUGCACGAAAGCGUGGGUAUCGAACAGGAUUAGAGACCCCUGUAGUC